UAUGGUGGCUUCGCCUUCUCCCUUCGAGCCUGACAAACCGUCGUUAUUCUGGGAUUAUUUGCUCAAGAAACGGAGGUGUGCUCUUGCCCUGGGGUUGUCUGAACAAGUCUGUAGCAGCAAGGGAAAAGGCACAUCCAAGUCCGUCUCCUGGAGGAAGGAACCAGGGUGACAGAGAUGGACAGGUGGAGAGAACUGCGUGCAGUGUGGUGACCUGAAGGAAUGCAAGGACGGGGUUGGUCUGCAGUGGUUUUUUCUGCUUGUGCCUGCUGACUCCCAGAGUGCAUCCCUCUGACCCUGCAUAAAGGUGUCAAGUUGGGGUCCUUGCCCUUCAGCCUGGGCUGAGGGGUUCCCAAGGAGUUGGGAACAAAACAGCUGUGGAGAGGAGAGAGGAGUCCUUUUUAUUGAGGCACCAGUUGGUUCCUAGGGAUAGGUUGGCAGGCCUAGUCAGUCUGGUCUGGGUAUCCCUUCUUGGAUUUAGACUUGACAUGACAGGCUGGGGUUGUGGCUCAGAGGUAGAACGCUCGCCUAGCAAGUGCGAGGCCCUGGGUUCCAUUCUCAGCACCACAUAAAAAUUAAUAAAUAAAGAUAUUGUGUCCA
RNAcentral lists this long non-coding RNA (597 nucleotides) under Urocitellus parryii (Arctic ground squirrel). RNAcentral's name for it is "lncRNA (ENSUPAG00010017785.1)". Lineage: Eukaryota; Metazoa; Chordata; Mammalia; Rodentia; Sciuridae. The record is from RNAcentral.